This 814-nucleotide ribosomal RNA is filed under the name human gut metagenome. RNAcentral describes it as "bacterial SSU rRNA". It matches the Rfam family "Bacterial small subunit ribosomal RNA", at positions 31 to 865 of the family's 1533-position model. The record is from RNAcentral.
GAACGCUGGCGGCGUGCUUAACACAUGCAAGUCGAACGAUUAACCCGCCCUCGGGCGGUUAUAGAGUGGCGAACGGGUGAGUAACACGUGACCAACCUGCCCCUUGCUCCGGGACAACCCAGGGAAACCUCGGCUAAUACCGGAUACUCCGCGCAGCCCGCAUGGGAGGCGCGGGAAAGCCCAGACGGCAAGGGAUGGGGUCGCGGCCCAUUAGGUAGACGGCGGGGUAACGGCCCACCGUGCCCGCGAUGGGUAGCCGGGUUGAGAGACCGAUCGGCCACAUUGGGACUGAGAUACGGCCCAGACUCCUACGGGAGGCAGCAGUGGGGAAUUUUGCGCAAUGGGGGAAACCCUGACGCAGCAACGCCGCGUGCGGGACGAAGGCCUUCGGGUUGUAAACCGCUUUCAGCAGGGAAUAUAGUGAAGGUACCUGCAGAAGAAGCUCCGGCUAACUACGUGCCAGCAGCCGCGGUAAUACGUAGGGAGCGAGCGUUAUCCGGAUUCAUUGGGCGUAAAGCGCGCGUAGGCGGCCCGUCAAGCGGGGUUUCAAAUCCAGGGGCUCAACCUCUGGCCGGACCCCGAACUGGCGGGCUCGAGUGCGGUAGAGGAAGGUGGAAUUCCCAGUGUAGCGGUGAAAUGCGCAGAUAUUGGGAAGAACACCGAUGGCGAAGGCAGCCUUCUGGGCCGCCACUGACGCUGAGGCGCGAAAGCUAGGGGAGCGAACAGGAUUAGAUACCCUGGUAGUCCUAGCCGUAAACGAUGGGCACUAGGUGUGGGGGAGCAUCUCCUCCGUGCCGCAGCCAACGCAUUAAGU